This is a long non-coding RNA of Gasterosteus aculeatus aculeatus (three-spined stickleback), 1120 nucleotides long. NCBI's taxonomy places the organism in Eukaryota, Metazoa, Chordata, Actinopteri, Perciformes, Gasterosteidae. The record is from Ensembl.
AUCCGCUCUUUCUUCAGACGGGCGACUUGUUGCUCCACAUCGUUUCCACACAGAAAACGUACAAAAGAAAAGAAAAAGAAAGGAAGCGGCUUCCUGCACUGCGAGAGGACGCACCAAACUACGACUCCCAUGGUGCAACGCAGGAAGGCUCAACGCUGCGGUUUGUGGUCGUCUUGACAUAUUAGGAGUGUCUUUCUAGCAGCGGUUGAAGAUUACGCUUUGUGAAAAAACACAAAAAACUGCUGAAAACAUUUAGCAACUUCAUUCAGGUCAACUUGUGGCAACGUCGGGAAGAUUCAGCAACGAUGGCGACAUGAGGACAACGUGCAGAAGGGCUGUGACUGACAGCGGCCUCCUGGGCGAAAGUCACCCUUACCUUGCUGCGGCUGAUGACGUCCAGCGGUUUGCUCAGAUGAAUCUCGCCUGCAGAACAGAAGGAAACGCGGUGGAACAUUAAAGGAGCGUUACGAAGAUUCAUGGAUGGAAAACACGUGACGUUUCAUCUGCAGGGCUCGAGCCUGCAAAUCAGCUGCAGCACAUCGUUAAUGUGUCGGGGGCUCUGUGUUCAUAUGGGGGGGCAGACUGUCCUCCUCUCUGGAGAGCCGGACCGUCUGGAGAGAAGGGGGCAGGAGAACCAGAACCAGGACUGAGAGGGGCAGCCUGAGACUCUGCUGCGGUAGAACGAGGACUUCUUUAGGGCGCCGAUGCUCAGAGAACUACCGCUUUACUCCACAGGGGGCGCCGGAACCACCAGCAAAUAAAAGCGCUUAUUAAUAACAUUAACAUUUCGUAGUAUUGAUCACCUGCGUGGCUGUAAAUCCAGAAAUAUUGCAUCUCAGAGAGUUUCGCUUGUACAAUAUUCACAAAUAAAUAUACUGUAUAAAUUUCAAUAUAUAUAUACAAAUUAAUCUAGAAAUUGCUUUAGUUUGAAUGUAAAAAAAACAAUUUUGCUGUUAAAUAAUUUAAUGUUAUUUGUGUGUGUAUAUUUAUCCUAGUUUGAAAGUACAAACCCAUUUCGUUGUGAAAUUGUUUGUACUUCAAAUUAAAUAUUCUUUUGUUAUUGAUUUUCAACAUGUAGAAACAUCUUAAAAAAAUCAGGUUUCUACCAAAUAAACAAAAG